Molecule: ribosomal RNA, 516 nt
Filed under: uncultured bacterium
Lineage: Bacteria
Description: bacterial SSU rRNA
Rfam family: Bacterial small subunit ribosomal RNA
Source: RNAcentral
GAGUUUGAUCCUGGCUCAGGAUGAACGCUAGCGGCAGGCCUAACACAUGCAAGUCGGGGGGUAACAUAGUAGCUUGCUACUGAUGACGACCGGCGCACGGGUGCGCACCGCGUAUGGAACCUACCUUUUACAGGGGAAUAGCCUUUGGAAACGAAGAUUAAUGCCCCAUAGUAUCCUUAUACAGCAUUGUAUUUUGAUUAAAGCCUUCGGGCGGUAGAAGAUGGCCAUGCGUCCCAUUAGUUUGUUGGUAAGGUAACGGCUUACCAAGACUACGAUGGGUAGGGGCCCUGAGAGGGGGAUCCCCCACACUGGUACUGAGACACGGACCAGACUCCUACGGGAGGCAGCAGUGAGGAAUAUUGGACAAUGGAGGAGACUCUAAUCCAGCCAUGCCGCGUGCAGGAAGAAUGCCCUAUGGGUAGUAAACUGCUUUUAUACAGGAAGAAAAAGAGCUACGUGUAGCUUAUUGACGGUACUGUAAGAAUAAGGACCGGCUAACUUCGUGCCAGCAGCCGC